Molecule: ribosomal RNA, 253 nt
Filed under: uncultured bacterium
Lineage: Bacteria
Also listed under: 1 other name
Description: partial 16S ribosomal RNA
Rfam family: Bacterial small subunit ribosomal RNA
Source: RNAcentral
UACGAAGGGGGCUAGCGUUGCUCGGAAUUACUGGGCGUAAAGCGCACGUAGGCGGGUCGUUAAGUCGGGGGUGAAAUCCUGGAGCUCAACUCCAGAACUGCCCUCGAAACUGGCGAUCUUGAGUUCGGGAGAGGUGAGUGGAACUGCGAGUGUAGAGGUGAAAUUCGUAGAUAUUCGCAAGAACACCAGUGGCGAAGGCGGCUCACUGGCCCGAUACUGACGCUGAGGUGCGAAAGCGUGGGGAGCAAACAGG